RNAcentral lists this non-coding RNA (25 nucleotides) under Mus musculus (house mouse). The record is from RNAcentral. Lineage: Eukaryota; Metazoa; Chordata; Mammalia; Rodentia; Muridae.
UGAAACCAGCUGCAGGUGACAAUGU